Non-coding RNA from Erythranthe guttata (spotted monkey flower), 971 nucleotides. Lineage: Eukaryota; Viridiplantae; Streptophyta; Magnoliopsida; Lamiales; Phrymaceae. The record is from RefSeq and is a predicted model, not a curated record.
AAAAUGAGUAGAGUGAUCUGCAAAUCGAUUCUAUCACCUUCUCUCACUUCCACUCAACUUCGGAUCGCUCCGCUCCGAACCUCCGCCACAAAGGCUUCCCGGAUGGCCGGCGAAGCUUCCUCUCCCCCGCCGCCGCAAUCUUCGUCUUCAUCUGCCGCACCUUCUCCUUCUCCUUCCUCCGCCAUCGAUUUCCUCUCUCUGUGCCACCGUCUCAAGACAACAAAACGAGCAGGAUGGAUACGAAAAGAGGUUCAGGAACCAGAAUCAAUAGCUGAUCAUAUGUAUCGGAUGGGAUUAAUGGCUCUUAUAGCUUCUGAUCUUCCUGGUGUCAACCGUGAAAAGUGUAUAAAAAUGGCAAUUGUUCAUGAUAUUGCUGAAGCUAUUGUUGGUGAUAUCACUCCUGCUGAUGGUAUUCCAAAGCAAGAAAAGAGUCGACGUGAGCAAGAAGCACUGAAGAACAUGUGCGAACUACUUGGUGGAGGAGCACGAGCUAAGGAGAUCAGCGAUUUGUGGAUGGAGUACGAAGAGAAUUCUUCAAUGGAAGCUAAGGUUGUUAAGGACUUCGAUAAGGUAGAGAUGAUACUUCAAGCCUUAGAAUACGAAAAAGAGCAAGGAAAAGAUUUGGAAGAGUUUUUUGAGUCAACUGCAGGCAAGUUUCAAACUGAUUUGGGGAAAGCUUGGGCUCUGGAAGUAGCAUCAAGGAGAAGAAAGCAGUAACAUCUUAACAGAAAAAAAAAAUCGUAACUCUUCGAAACUUUUGUUUCUAGAAGCCAGUUCUUACUAGAAUGAUUUGCACUCUUCAGGAAAAAGGAUAAAAAAUUAAAAACACAACCGUUGUUACCAUUGCUGACUGGAUAAACCCUCAUAAUUUUUUUUUGGGUAAUUCCUUAUUUUCAUUUUCAUAAAUUUGUGGUUCUUAAUAAAAUUAAUAAUAAUGUUGUGGUUAAUUGUAUUGUUCCACUAAGUUGGCU